Long non-coding RNA from Marmota monax (woodchuck), 1178 nucleotides. RefSeq lists it as uncharacterized. The record is from RefSeq and is a predicted model, not a curated record. The transcript is spliced from 4 exons. NCBI's taxonomy places the organism in Eukaryota, Metazoa, Chordata, Mammalia, Rodentia, Sciuridae.
UGCAAACCAGGAGACAGCCUGUGUGGCAGUGGCCGCUGUCCUCCUCCACUCCUCACCUGGACCCUGGCGCCAUGGUUGUGUACAGACAAGAUGGACGGACGCCAUGCUUCUGGACAUAUUCUGAGUGACUACUUGAAAAUCUCUCCAAAGACAUGAAAGCAGAAAGCACACUUUCUGCUGACAAAGGAACUCAACUCUGCAAAUUGCCAGUGCAGUUUAUUUUUGAAUAAUCAUCAUAGGACUGCACCAUCCGAAGCAGGAGCCAGUGUCUACACGAGUCACACUUAACUUCACUAAAAUGAAAUAAAAUAGAAGUCAGACCUUGACUGCACUAGCCAUACUUCACAUGCUCACAGGUCGUAUUUGGUGACCCCAACACCAAGCAAAACAGAAGGGGACAUUUCCAUUGCUGAAAACUGUGUGCUACCAGAGAGCCCGGGCUGCACCUUUACGCUCUCGUCAGCUAGUUAUGAUCAUCCACUUUCAACCACAAAGCACAGAUGGACACACCACUCAAUUCUGCUUAAAGACUGAAAAUAAAAAGUUUUCAGGGGACACAACAUCUUUGUUUGUAUGUGGUGCUGAGGAUCGAACCCGGGCCGCACGCAUGCGCCAUCUUCCCACGAUGGCUCACUAUUGGUUGUUCAGUCUACACUGGCUGAAACCACGUGUGCAUUCACUGCUUACCAGGACCUGCUCCAGAGCCUGCAGCAACACUGACAUCUCCACGCUCCUUCCAGCAAACCCCACACACUGCAUCCUGAUGCUUCUGGACUAGAUUGCUUCUCAAAUGUCUCCAAAUUCACUUUCACUUUCAAGGAACCAAAACAUGACACUCACAUGAUACGGUGCUUGUUCUAAAACAUAAUUCAGAAUUAUGAUCAGUAGACAUGUCAAAGACAAGAUCUUGGAUAGAUAUUAAAUUAAUGAUGAGUGAAUGUGCUGUUGCAUGUCUUAAAGUGGCAUAAUAUUGAACUCAAUGACCUAGUAUAACUCCCAGUGUAAAAUUGUUGUUUUUACAUGUUGCCUUUUCAAAUUUUGAUUGAUUGCAGUGUUUUGAAAGUUUGUAAAAUGAAUUGGGUAACAGUCCAUGAACUUGUACUCCAGAACUUAUUAAAUAUUAUGGAAUCUAUCCUUUUUUAAUGUUGAAAAAUAAUAAAUCCCUAGUAUCAUUCUUA